GGCUGAACUACGAUCUGUUCGUUGUUGCUUGGUGCUUCCUUCUUCGUCAGAUCUGACUGGGGGAGAUAUUCAUUUCCGUGUUGCAGGCUGGUUCCUAGGAUCGAUGCAGGUGAUAUUUUGGCUGACGAGAUCGAUGUCGUCCAGUUUGUGAUUGCUUCCAUACAUGAAUGCCGCGAGCGCCCACCUGCUGCUAUCAUUUCUCAAGCCGUUUGUGAUGGCAGCAGUGAAGAGCAAAUCCGAGAUGUGUUUGAAAGUGAGGUCGUUGGUGACUCUAACGACACGGCUCGUCUGUGUACGCCUGUUGAAGCUAUGAGAGAAGAUGGAGAUGCAGAGAGUGUCGUCGUCAACAACUCAAAAGGUUCAUGCUGGACUCGGCGGUAAUAAGCACACAUCCAAAACUCUGCGUUGAUACUCUUUUUUUGAGCUAUUAGUGCAGCGAUGCUAGGCGUGCUUAGGAUUGUCCUAAUUUGCGUUUUGUACCCUGCACAUUAUACCUUUGUUCUCAAAAAAUCGUCGAGUUUUGUCUAUGUAUGUCCUAGCACAAAAAACAUGUUCAUGUGAAUUUUGGGAAAUAAAACUUGCAGUGUUAGGGUUGGGAAUACAUCGGAAGAUAGGGAUCCAAACCCAACCAGAGUGCCUGCGCUGGAGGCUUCUAUGCGAGCUUAUACAGACAACAAAGCUGAUACUGUAGUUAAUCCGGCACUCGGGACUAGCUUUGAUUCUGUUGAAGAAGCAUAUGAAUAUUACAACCUGUACUCUUGGGAGUGUGGGUUUGGCGUCAGGUACGCCGAAAGCAGGCUGAAUGUUCAUCGGACAAAAUGUACGCAGGAAUUUGUGUGUGCAUGUGCGGGUAGGCCGUUGCAAACAAACAGUCGCUCUACGAGGUGUGGUUGCUUAGCACUGAUGCGUGUGCUUAGGUCGGAGGACAAAGAUUGGUACAUAUGCGAGCACAAAACAGACCAUAACCAUGCUUUGUCGGUUAACUGUAUGGAGAAAUUGCACUGGAAGUCGCACCGACAUAUAGAUAGGUACACAAGGGACCUAGUGAAACAACUUAGGGAGAAUAAUAUAAGCCUUAGCAAGGUUUAUAGCGUAGUGGGCAGUUUUUUUGGAUCUGUGAAGGAGGUGCCAUUCACAAAAAGGUCACUGAAAACUCUAUGUGGGAAACUGAGCAGAGAGCAGUCGGAAAAUGAUGCCACAAAAACAAUAGAGGUGUUCAAUGCAAUGCGAGCUGAAGAUCCUGAGUUCAAAUACAGUGUGCAGGUUGAUGACGAUGGUCGGGUAAAGACUUUGAUGUGGACAACAGGGCGAAGCAUCGAGCAGUUUAAGUGUUUUGGUGAUGAUGUUACAUUUGAUACAACGUACAAAAUUAACUUAUAUGAUAUGCCAUUUGGUCUUUUUGUUGGUGUCAACAAUCACUUCCAGAGCAUUAUUUUUGGUGGGGUGCUGAUGAGCGACGAGAAAAUCGACACCUUCAAAUGGAUAUUCACGGAAUUCUUCCAGAUGAUAGGGGCUCCACAGCCGCGGACAAUGCUAACAGACCAAGCCCGGGCAAUGGAGGUUGCAAUAGAGGAUGUCAUGAAACAUACAAUCCAUCGAUGGUGCAAAUGGCAUGUGUUGAAAAAAGCAAAAGAGUGUCUCGGACCACUUCUAGGUAAGGGAAUGAAUUCAAGCAGGAGUUCAACAAGAUGGUGCACCAUGUUGUCCGUGAGAAAGAGUUUGAGGAUGGUUGGGCGUGUAUGGUUGAGAAUCAUGGUCUACAGAAAAAUACGUUUCUCACCCAGAUAUAGGAGACACGAAAAAAGUGGGCUAAGCCAUAUUUUAUGGAUGUAUUCUGUGCGAAGAUGACCAGUAUGCAACGGAGUGAGAGUGCAAACCAUUUGCUUAAAGGAUAUGUUCCACCAGGUUCCCCGAUGCAUCUGUUUGUCAGACAAUACGAGAAGAUGCAAUUUGAUAGAGAUUCAGAGGAGAGUUAUCAGGAGAAGAGAACAAAGCUGGGAGGGGUUGUCCUGGCGCAAAACCUGCCAAUUGAGAUACAUGCAUCCCAAAUUUACACGAGGGCAAUGUUUGAAAAAUUCGGGGAGAUGUUGUACGAGUGUGGCUCAUAUGUCCUCACUGAAGUUGUGGCUCGGUGUGAGUACAUUGCCGUGCAUGUGAAGAAAGCUUCGAGGGACAAAUGGUCAAAAAAUCAAUUUCUUGUCCGUGUGAGCGAACCUGUUGACGAAUUCAACUGCGAAUGUGGGAUGUUUCAGCAUUUCGGCAUGGUGUGCAGCCAUGCCUUGAAGGUCAUGGUCCACCUAGGUCUGCAAGAGGUUCCUGCCAAGCAUGUGCUGAAGCGUUGGACAAAAGAUGCAAGGGAUAUACUACCUCAAGAGUUCCUACGUUACCAGAAAGACCAGGGGCCUCUCAAGUACUCUUCCAGGCGUCAUAACAAUCUGCAUCUACUUUGCCUUGAAAUUGUUAGACUGGGCGACAGCAAUGUGGAUUCUUAUGAUAUUGCCAUGGAACAUCUGAGGAAUGUCAAGACUUUGCUAGAGCCGGUUGCUGCUAUACGCGAUGGCAUGGGCUUAUCUGAUAGAGAGGGUGCCGGUGAUUCUACGUGUUCUGGUACAGUACAACAGCAACAUUUUGGUGCGGCCCAUCAGGUGCAUAGCUCGACUCAAUGCUCGGAUAGCUUUGGAGCACCUUCAAAGAAGAGGCCAGCAGGGCGGCCGACGACGAGCCGGGAUAAAGCGCCAUAUGAAAAACCAACCAAGAGGACUAGGUUUUGUUCAAUAUGCGGGGGGCAAGGGCACAAAAACACCACAUGCCCCCAGCGUGGUGAUCUCCCAAAGGCUCCGAGGAAGUCUCCUCGGUGCUCAAGGUGCGGCCUGAUAGGACACAGGAGGAACACCUGCACCAACACACCCAGAGCAGAUUUCUAUGGUUGAUAUUCUGUUUUGGAUUUUAUGCUUGAGAUGCGUCGCCAUACAACUCGUAUGAACUGUUUCGUGAUUUUUAGUUAAUCUAUCUAUUUGUGGUAGUAUUACUGUCA
RNA transcript from Hordeum vulgare subsp. vulgare (domesticated barley), 3034 nucleotides. It is a transcript of the gene named protein FAR1-RELATED SEQUENCE 6-like, with no coding region annotated. NCBI's taxonomy places the organism in Eukaryota, Viridiplantae, Streptophyta, Magnoliopsida, Poales, Poaceae. The record is from RefSeq and is a predicted model, not a curated record. The transcript is spliced from 5 exons.